This 2023-nucleotide long non-coding RNA is filed under the name Homo sapiens (human). RNAcentral describes it as "HSALNT0200515". The record is from RNAcentral. Lineage: Eukaryota; Metazoa; Chordata; Mammalia; Primates; Hominidae.
GGGAGUAGUAGUUUGUGUAAUAUCGCGAUCCUUCUCUGGUGUUCCUUGUUUUAGCUGACGACACUCGAGAGCGCCAAUUUUCCUAGAUUCGAUUUUGUGGUUUGGAACUGUGGUUUUGGAAUCCAGAGUAGUCGCCUCGUUCUAGUAUCCAAUUGCUCCAGCACCAACUGGUGAAAAGACCAUCAUUCUUCUACUCAGUUGCAUUUGAAGCUUUGUCAAAAACCAGACACAAUUGGAGACACAGGUUCUUCUAUCAAGGCCUUGACUGGAAUGGCAUAUUUUCAGAUAUGACCACAUUGCUUUGAGGAAAUGAGGCUGAUGUUGCAGAGCUGAUAAAACCCCCACAGAAAGGCCAGCCUACCUCUGAACAGGGUCAUGCCCUUCCAACAUCCCAUCCUGAUGGCUGGAAUAUGGACAUGAGGGUGAACCACCUUGGACCAUGUGAAACAGGGUAACACCCCAAGGGCAGUAGAACAGGAAGACAACAAGCCUGGGUCUCAGAUAACUUUGUAGCUCAGGAUCCACAUAAAAGAUUGGACUGUUAUAUGAGAAAUCCUUUUAAAGAUCUAUAAGGUCUCUCUUGCAUACAACCAACUUAUGUGCUAACUAAUGUAUAAAGUGAGAGAAAACCUCAUCCUAUGACAUAUUCUCUGUACUAAUAAAGCCUUGAAGACAUUGACACUCUGGAUCAGGCUGUGCCUUGAGGUGAGAACCAUUGCUAUUUGCUAGGUUCCCCAAAAUUAACGAAUAAUUUGUCCCUAAAAGAAUAUUCUUAAAAUAUGGUGGGUCUGGCUGGGUGCGGUGGCUCACACCUGUAAUCCCAGCACUUUGGGAGGCCAAGGUGGAUGGAUUACGAGGUUAGGAGUUCGAGACCAGCCUGGCUAACACGGUGAAACCCCAUCUCUCCAUUGGAGAGACUCCCCACAGAGUAGGAGAAAAUGUCUCAGAUAUGGAGGAAUAAUAUGCAACAAUAUCUGUUCCCUGCCUGCCCUGUGCCUUGGACCAUGUUGAAUCCACAAGGGUAAAGUGAGAAACAGAAGCUGUUGGCAAAGGUCUAGGUGACAAAAUAGCCCAGAGUUAAGAAAAGGGCAUAAAACCUAUUGCCUAUAAGGUACUCCUCUAAAAUUUGGCAACUUCUCUGAAUGGUACCUUUUUGUUGUUAUUUUUCAUUUAAAAACUGUCUUGUAUCUAAUCAACUCUAUGGUUCUCAAAUAGAUUAUCAAUUAAUUCUCUUGGGAUUGCUAGUCACCUUUUCUAUAAUUUUGCCUCCUAAUACUUUCUGCUUUAUUAUAUUUGCUGUAACAAAUAUUCUUUUAAAAUUAGUUGUAAAGAUGAAACAGUGUUGAAGUUUCAAAUAGAUAUGGGAAGUAGAGAUUUGAUGAAAGGAUAUUUACAUUCUGGUGAUCAGAUUUUUGGAUUUCAAAGACCAGUCAAUUUUCUUUUAGUGUUUAGGGGACUGAUAUAAGGCUGAAACAUUUUUACAUUUCCAAUUUAUGAACAAUAAAACAAAUAGAAUAAUUUUUAUCUUACAGCUCAUUCAUUGUGUUUUAUAGUUUUUCACUUCAGCACAAAUUGGUAAAAAUAACAUCAGGCAAAGCACUGGUUCCUGGUUUAAUGAGCAGGGUUUAAAAAAUUGAUUAUAUUUUUUGACUACAUUUACUAUAGAUCCCUUUCAGGUAGAUGCACUUUUCCAACCAUUUGUUUUCCUAUUUAUGAAGAGACAAUGAACUUUUGCUACUAAGAUAUAUUUCUAGUAAUGAGCCAUGGUGCCAGUAGUUUGAAACAUCUGAACCACGUAUUUUGCUUUAAAUCCUAAUAUAUACAUAGCCUUCUUGGACAAUAAUCGUUAUCACUUACAUUUGUAUAACACGUAAGUUUCAAAGCUUUCAUAUACACUAGUGCACUUUAUCCUUUGAAUAGUUUACAUUUCGUUACUCAUUCUUGCAUUACUCAUCAUGAGGAAAUUAGAAUUUCAGAAAUGUCAACUUUGCCUUCAUUCUGAGGUACUAAUUUUUCACAUUUC